Molecule: ribosomal RNA, 500 nt
Filed under: uncultured bacterium
Lineage: Bacteria
Description: bacterial SSU rRNA
Rfam family: Bacterial small subunit ribosomal RNA
Source: RNAcentral
CUCAGGAUGAACGCUAGCGGCAGGCCUAACACAUGCAAGUCGCGGGGCAGCACGGGUAGCAAUACCUGGUGGCGACCGGCGCACGGGUGCGUAACGCGUAUGCAACCUGCCCCCAUCAGGGGAAUAGCCCGCCGAAAGGCGGAUUAAUGCCCCAUAGGCCCAGGGCGCCGCAUGGCGCUAUGGGUAAAGCUCCGGCGGAUGGGGAUGGGCAUGCGUGCCAUUAGCUAGUUGGGGCGGUAACGGCGCACCAAGGCGACGAUGGCUAGGGGGUCUGAGAGGAUGGUCCCCCACACUGGUACUGAGACACGGACCAGACUCCUACGGGAGGCAGCAGUGAGGAAUAUUGGUCAAUGGGCGGAAGCCUGAACCAGCCAUGCCGCGUGCAGGAUGAAGGUCCUAUGGAUUGUAAACUUCUUUUAUAGUAGAAUAAAGUGAUCCACGUGUGGAUUUUUGUAUGUAUACUAUGAAUAAGGAUCGGCUAACUCCGUGCCAGCCGCUGC